UCUCUUAGUAUUCGGUUGUCUAUGAAACUAUUUGUGUUUUUUUUUAUUGAUUUCUCCAAAAAAUCCCCCCUUUGUUACAGUGUGUUUUUGGCUUUUUAUUGCCGAAAUAGUAAAUCAAAGAAAGAAAAAAAAUCUGAUUCGCAAAUACAUGAUUUUUCCUUCCAUACACUGUUUGAUUUCUUUCCUUGUUUUGCAGGUGAAGAUCGCACGGGGAUUCGGCUCUUGACUGCUUGGUGGCUGCGGCGCGAGGCUCCCUCAGAAACCCUAGGGUUUCUGAAACUGCUUUGGGCCUGGGUCUAAUUCUGCUUAUUUCAGUUUGGGCCUUGUGGCCCGUUUGUAAUAAUUUUUUCUUUUACCCGGGCCAAAAUCGGGUACUACAGGGAUGAUAGUAUUAUUUUUGACGAGGCAUCGAUCAGAUGAGCUUUAGUUGUGAAAGGAAUUUUAUAAGAAUAUGAACGAUGUUCAAGACAAUGCAUGAAUUUCGAUAAGUCUACAAUCUUUUUUAGUUCGAAUACCAUGGAGGAGAAAAAUAAAACUGUGACCACUUUGUUGAUGCGUUUUUCUAAUAACCCGGAGAGGUAUUUAGGGUUGCCAAAUAUAGUGGAAAGGUGGAAAAAGUGUUUCCAAAAUUUGAAGGACAGGGUUAAAGCAAGAAUUGAGGGAUGGAGAAUAAGGUUAUUGUCACAAGAAAUCGGUACUUCAGGCUAUACCAAUAUAUGCAGUGUUUUCUAUUGCCAAAUUCUCUUUGUAGGGAGCUUGAAAAGAUAAUGACACGAUCUUGGCGGCAAAAGUGAUAUGGGAGGGGGAUUCAUUGGUGUGCUUGGAGUCAAAUGUGUAGGCCAAAGAAACAAGGGGGAAGUUCAAUAUUGCUUUGUUAGCUAAGCAAGGUUGGAGGCUGAUAAACCAUCCAGAUUCAUUAUUAUCCCAUGUUCUUAAAGCAAAGUAUUUUCCAAGGUUAGAUUUUAUUAAUGCGCCUUUAGAUAAUUUACAUCGUAUACUUGGAAAAGAAUUUGGGCUGCGAAGGGUGUAUUGCAAGAGGGAUUAUGUUGUAGGGUGGGUUCUGGUGUUAAAAUUUCAAUUAAUGAUGAUGCUUGGAUUCUUGGGGCUGCUAAUUACAGAUUAGUCAAUUAUGAUAAUAGCAUGCAAAAUUCUAUGAUUGUUGAUCUGAUUGAUGCUAAUCAAAGAAUAUAGAAAGAAGAAUUAAUCGUUAAUACCUUUGCGACGGUGGACACUUCUAGAAUCCUUCGAAUUCUGCUGGCACAUGAGGCACAUGAAGAUCUGAUGGUGUGGAGUGGUGAGCCAUCCGGGGAGUUUUUGGUACGUAGCUUAUAAACUAUUAUAGAACUUUCCUAUGGUUCCUACUGCUUAUGCUUUACAGACCAGUACUAAGGAAUUUUAUAAACAGCUAUGGGGCCUAAACCUCCCUGGGAAAAUUAAGAUUACAAUAUGGAGGAUCUCUUGGAACUAUCUACCUACUUUUGUUAGCAUGAAACAUAAGAAGCUCAUUAAUAAGUAUGCUGUCCCGGUGUGGGGGAGAGGCCGAAACAGUAGACCAUGUGUUUCGUGCGUGCACUGUGUCCAUAGAGGUAUGGUCAGAAUUACAGUUAACUUGUAUUCUAGUCUCAGCAGAUAUGGGUUUUGAUUAGUGGCGAACCUGGGUUUUUGGGGGAUGCUCGGCCACUCAGAAGCGUAUUUUCUGUUAUGCGCUUUGGGCUAUCUGGGGCGAUAGAAAUACCAGGGUACAUGAACGGAAAAUUAAAACAGGGAAGGAGAUUGCUCGUUUUAUCGAAAACUAUCUUAGAGAUGACAGAAACAGAGAAAUGGACUUAUCCAAGAGCAAAUACGGGGGGGGGGGGGGGAAUGGGGCAAACCUUCUGGAUCUACCGUGAAGAUUAACUUUGAUGGAGCUUAAGACGGUCGAAACUUUCGGUCGGCCUCAGGAGCUGUCGCAAGGAAUGCUAAGGGGCGGGUUCUGUUAUCUCGUUCGGAGACCCAUAGUGGAGUAUUGUCCGCUUUCGCCGCUCAAGCCAUUGCAUGCCAUCAGGCGUUGGAAAUGGGCGUAGAAAUAGGUUGGGAAGAGGUUAUAUUGGAGGGGGAUUCAUUAACCACAAUUAAGAAAUGUAAGUCAAAAUAUCGAGACAAAUUGGUUAUAGGGGCAUACAUUCACAAUAUAAAACAGUUAGAAGGCAGUUUUCGGUGUAUCAGUUUCAAAUAUACCAUAUGAGCGGCGAAUGGAUUAUCACAUACCAUUGCAACAGCAACGUUAAAGAGAAGUGAAUCGAUUUAUCUAGUGGGCAGAGUUCCUGCAUAUGCAGAGCGAGCGUUGGAAGUGAAAUGGGAAAGGGACCCAGACUGAGGCAAGAGGUAAAGUGCAUGAGACAAGGGGAGACGGAUGAACUUUGGUGAAAAUAGGGUUUCAGAUUGGUUUCCUAUCCGAGCUCUGGAAUCGACGGGGAAAGGGAAAUGAUUUUUUGUUGGGACGGGUGAAAGGAAUGGAUUU
Molecule: long non-coding RNA, 2500 nt
Filed under: Gossypium raimondii (Peruvian cotton)
Lineage: Eukaryota; Viridiplantae; Streptophyta; Magnoliopsida; Malvales; Malvaceae
Description: long non-coding RNA (GRAI_LNC006310)
Source: RNAcentral